RNAcentral lists this ribosomal RNA (624 nucleotides) under Staphylococcus aureus. Its description in RNAcentral is "partial 23S ribosomal RNA". It matches the Rfam family "Bacterial large subunit ribosomal RNA", at positions 1582 to 2207 of the family's 2925-position model. Lineage: Bacteria; Bacillati; Bacillota; Bacilli; Caryophanales; Staphylococcaceae. The record is from RNAcentral.
GUCUUCGAGUCGUUGAUUUCACACUGCCGAGAAAAGCCUCUAGAUAGAAAAUAGGUGCCCGUACCGCAAACCGACACAGGUAGUCAAGAUGAGAAUUCUAAGGUGAGCGAGCGAACUCUCGUUAAGGAACUCGGCAAAAUGACCCCGUAACUUCGGGAGAAGGGGUGCUCUUUAGGGUUAACGCCCAGAAGAGCCGCAGUGAAUAGGCCCAAGCGACUGUUUAUCAAAAACACAGGUCUCUGCUAAACCGUAAGGUGAUGUAUAGGGGCUGACGCCUGCCCGGUGCUGGAAGGUUAAGAGGAGUGGUUAGCUUCUGCGAAGCUACGAAUCGAAGCCCCAGUAAACGGCGGCCGUAACUAUAACGGUCCUAAGGUAGCGAAAUUCCUUGUCGGGUAAGUUCCGACCCGCACGAAAGGCGUAACGAUUUGGGCACUGUCUCAACGAGAGACUCGGUGAAAUCAUAGUACCUGUGAAGAUGCAGGUUACCCGCGACAGGACGGAAAGACCCCGUGGAGCUUUACUGUAGCCUGAUAUUGAAAUUCGGCACAGCUUGUACAGGAUAGGUAGGAGCCUUUGAAACGUGAGCGCUAGCUUACGUGGAGGCGCUGGUGGGAUACUACCCUA